Molecule: ribosomal RNA, 468 nt
Filed under: uncultured bacterium
Lineage: Bacteria
Description: partial 16S ribosomal RNA
Rfam family: Bacterial small subunit ribosomal RNA
Source: RNAcentral
GACGAACGCUGGCGGCGUGCUUAACACAUGCAAGUCGAACGGAAAGGCCCUGCUUUUGUGGGGUGCUCGAGUGGCGAACGGGUGAGUAACACGUGAGUAACCUGCCCUUGACUUUGGGUUAACUUCCGGAAACUGGGGCUAAUACCGGAUAGGAGCUCCUACUGAAUGGUGGGGGUUGGAAAGUUUCGGCGGUUGGGGAUGGACUCGCGGCUUAUCAGCUUGGUGGUGGGGUAGUGGCUUACCAAGGCUGUGACGGAUAGCCGGCCUGAGAAGGUGGCCGGCCACAUUGGGACUGAGAGACGGCCCAGACGCCUACUGGAGGCAGCAGGGGAGAAUAUUGCACAAUAAGCGGAAGCGUGAGGCAGCAACGCCGCGGUCGUGAAGACGUCUUUCGGGGUGUAAACCGCUUGCGCCUGUGACGAAGCGUGAAUGACGGUAAUGGGUAAAGAAGCACCGGCUAACUACGUG